Molecule: long non-coding RNA, 14644 nt
Organism: Triticum aestivum (bread wheat)
Lineage: Eukaryota; Viridiplantae; Streptophyta; Magnoliopsida; Poales; Poaceae
Exons: 4
Source: RefSeq, a predicted model, not a curated record
UUCUUUCUUUCGUCCGCAAAGGACACCCGGUCUCCUUCCUCUUCUUCUUUGAUACAACCCUGUCUUCUUUCUCUUUUUAGUCCAAUCUUCCACUUUUCAAUCCUUUUUGUGAUACAAAUAAAUACAUCUAUUCCAUCGAACAAGCCCUCCCAAGGAGAGGACCAGCGUCGUCCCCGGCCUCUGGCGACCGGCCGGCGAGCCCAACGCCGGAGCACCACCAACACCCGCAGCCCCCAGCGCCCAGCCUUCCUACACGCUCAAGAGCAGGAGACGAACGCCCGCUCGGGAGGAGAACCCGAGUGCGCCCGCGCCACCCUGAGCCGCCACCGGGGGAAGCUCCCGCCGCUCGCCGGCGACGUGCAGGAUCCCGCGACCCCAACGCCGCCGCUCUGCCUGCCUCCUCUCUCUCUAUUUCUUCCUUCCCUUCUUCUCUGGUUCUCUCUCUCAUAUUUCUCUCUCUUCACUGUCCCGUAGCAGGAACAGCCGCUGGCGCUCGUCCCCGACCAACUCCGGUGCCCUGGCCUCACCGCCAAAGCUGGGAGCCAUCCCCACCGGCCGGAUCUGAUGCGCAGCCACCUCGCUGUUGCGCCGCCAUCACCCCUGCAACGGAUCAUCCCGCCCUCCACCUCUUUUUCGUCGGGGAGACGACGAACUCGUCCUCGAGCGUUGACCGCGCGCCCGCGUUCGUGGGCUGCAUCCACGGGCGAUCGAUCACCGCCUCAUGUACGCCGCCGGGCGUCGGACUAAUUUUCAUAAGCUUCAUUCAUAUGUGACAUCAGGAAGCUUCAAAAAACAGGAGAAGUGCAAGAAAACGUCGCCCCAAACAAAUCGCAACUUGCCAGCCUCCGCAACAGCCGUCAGAACCAUGGCUCACAGACGCCUGCUCCGCGGAUCGGCGGAUCCUUCCCUGGUGCCAUGCUUCAGCGGCUUGUGCUGCUCGGUAUCCCUCGUCCAAAUAAUCGGUAUGUCUGUUCAAAAAAAAAAUCGGUAUGUGUCCUUCCUGCGGCUACACCUUCAGGAUUUUCACCGCCACCAUGCUUCGGAGGCUUGCUGUUGUUCUUGUCCUCUUUGCUGCUGUGCGCAAGCGCACCUACGCAUAUAUGGUUCUGGCCCAGGGAGCACAACUCUCUAACUCUGGCCCUUCUGUCGUUGAUCUAGGUAUGCACCCCCGAUGCUAUUACAGCUAAUCUCUGAUAAAGAAGUUUUUGGUCCUGAUGCAACUCAUUGACGAACGCAAUUAGGCUUGUAGACUGGCUUCCAAUCUCCAUUGAUUCUCAUUCAUGCACUGACUGCUAUUCUAAACAAUUAUUAUUAGAUAUUAAUAUUAAUGGAGCAUCAAUGUUUUUUGAAAAAAAUUAAUAAGCAGAUAACUCAAGGCUUUCAUUUUUUAUGUAGAUAAGCAGCAGGAGUAUUUCAUAGAUCACGGACCCCAUGUAGUCUGACGUUCAAGGAGGGAAUCUGGCUCAGGAUGCCUGUGUCCAUAUUGUACUUUUGAUAUCUGACUUUCAUAUUGUACUAUGAUGAUCGUGGAUCUUGUGUGCAUAUUGUACUUUUGAUGAGCUACACUUUUAAGGAAUCUGAUUUCAGGAGUCUGAUGGUCAGGUAAGUGUUAAUGUGUUAUUUAGUGUUAGUUUAGUGCAGCUGCUCCCCUGAGGCCCUGACUGGCUUCUUAGCUCCCUCUCCACUUACCUGUCAGCUGGGCGUGUUGAUUCGAUCUGUUGAUCUGGAAAAAUUGACACACUAGGACGUACACAAAAACUUUAAGGUUAGUUCGUACAUGAUUGAAUCUUCUCCGUGCAAAAACUGACAAUACACAAAUUGUAGCAAAAUCAAUGAGGAGCUGAAUCUGCAGUCUUCCCUUACCGCCCAGUAGUUCCCAAUUUAUUUUUGGAUUUUUAUUGUUAUUUGGUAAGCAUAGCACCUGAUUUACAGUGAAGUGCAUCUAUCAAUUUAAUUGUUUGACCGUUAAUACACAGUACAUCCGUGUCCAUGUCGUCAACGUGUUGCUCGCCGACCGUACUGUUCUCGAGAUCCGCCUUGAAGACGGUGGAUCGGGCCUUCAGCACACAUCGUUCGUUAGCAUCUCCGCCUGAUGCUUCUAUAGGAAGAGAGACCCCCAUACUUAUAUUUUUAAUCCACAUGGAUAGUACAAUUUUUUUUAAUCCACAUGGAUAGUUCUGUAGAAAAAUUGUUAUUUUGUAGUCUUCUUAACUUGGCUAAUGAAUAUCCACUCUUCAUAUGACAAGAAGUGCAUGAACUUGGCUAAUGUUUAGGGGCAUAAGCAUGAUCAUGUCAAAAGUGCAUACAAGCAUCAUGUAAUUAUGUUCUUACAGAGAUAACAUUCAGUUUAGUAAUCUCUCUUGGCUGAGGGAUUUGACUACCCUUCAUCAGAGCGUGUUAGAGCUAUGGAUACUGAACUCGCAAGAUUCCUUUUUUGUAUGUCCGCAGGGAAGUGUUGACUACUUGAACAUGCUGGAAAGUGUUGACUACUUGGAGUAACUUGCAAGUAACAGAUGUUUUGACAACAAUAACUGCUACCAAUGAGGACCACUGGCAAGAUAUAGCACAACAACCUGGUCCCUGUUCCGUAAAGGUUGGCCUGAUCCCUGUUGAAAUCAAUUUGGCGUGGUACAUUAGUUGUAUUGUUCACCCUGCAUGUUUUUUUUCACUUUCCUAAAGUAUGUUUGAGUAUAGCUUAUGGUUUAUUUAUAAGCUUGUGAGUUAAUUAAAGCUCACUUGGUGGUUCUAACUAAUUAUACUAAAAUAUGACCAUGACCGAAAGAUAGAUGGAGGUUCAGAUGCAGAGUGAAAGCCUGCACCAACAAGUUGUAGUUGUAUAUGGAACCUGGCGACUUGAUGGUGAGCACUAACCUUCACUCCGCAAGAAUCCUUUUUGACACUUACUCUGUAGAAAAUACCUUUCAGUUUAAUAUAUUCUGCUAUUGUGGUUAAUAGAUCAAUGAACAAUCAUUUGAAUUGUGCUCCAUGAUAUUCAAGCUACUAUUGUAAGAAAUUGAAAGAUGUUCAUGUUUUGCCGCCCUCGUGUUUGUCUUGACACGCUGGCGCUACUGUUAGUUGCUUUCCACGCAAAUAAGAACAUAAUACAUCAACACUCUUCUUAGUGUUGGUGUUGAAAUACAGGACUUUGAUGUGGGAUGUAGCCAUGCUUAUUGGACUAGGCAUCUAAGAAUUUUUUUCCCGUUGCAACGCACGGGUAUUUUUGCUAUCUUUCCCUAAUAAUAAAGCACGGAUUGACUUUGUCGGGUUCACCGUCACAAUACGCUUCUUCCCGUGAUUUUACGCUUUCAGUUUGAAUUUAAAACAUAUUCGAGGUGGUACUAAAUUUUCGCUCUAUCUAUUUCGCCGCGUCUGAUUUUUUUCCGUAAGUGGCUGAUUCGCUGAAAAAAUAUGGUUGACGCCGCUGGGAUUUGAUCCAUGGUCUUGCCAUGUAUAGAUUGCAGCGCAGCAGACCACUAAGGCUAGGCUCCUAAGCUUGCUAAUUUGGGCGUCUGGAACCUUAAGAAUAAAGGACAGGCGUACUCGGGCCGAGAUCAACAGGCACGGUCGUGAUGGGCAUGUACGAGUGCGGCGGCCCACUGGACGGACAAGGGACCAGGCUGGAAGUUGUUUUUCAUAUUUGUUUACUUGUCAAAUAGUCCCACCUUGCUAUUUUACAUUAAUUUUUACCAGUUUAUAUACAAUUUUUAGGUUGUCAGGCAUCAAGAAGCUGCUUUGGAAAUUAAGCAAAGAAAUAAAGAAAGGAAAUAGACAUUCUUUGCAUGAGAAAUAAAGAAGGAAGAUGGUAAUUAUGUGGAGCCGGCAAGAAAGGUAAUAUGUAUUGAAUAAGAAAUAAAGAAGGAAGAAAAUCGAUGGUAAUUAUGUGGGUGCCAUAUUAAUCGCAUGAGUAAUUAGCAGGCCUAGCAAAAAAGGAAAAAAUAAUUGCAUGAAAAAUAAAGAAGGAAGGAGAAAGAGAGAGGAAGGAAAUGGACGGUAAUUAUGUGGGCAUCAUGAUAUAAGGAAAGAAAGAGAAAGAAAAACUAAUUAACAGGAGGUGCGGGAAUCAAUGGCAGGUUGCCAUGCCAUCUUAUGAGUAAAAAUGAUGUGGCAUUUUUUAAUCCUCACUAAAUUCAUGUCAUUUUUUUCUUCCAUUAUGUUUUCCUUGCUCUUAUAAUCUUUACUAAAUUUGCGCCAAAUUUGUAGCACAUUGAACAUUAUGUUUGCACAUACAAUCCUCACUAAAUUUAUGUCAAAUGUUUCAACCGUUCUAACCCACAGGCAUAUAUAGUAUUUUUAAUAUAUAAAUGGAGGUAUAAUAUUAUUGGUCCUCCCAUUUCGUAUGUCCAUGGUGUUUCCUCAUAUUGAGCUAGGCUAUUCUACUAAUCGUCUGUCUUGGGCCACUUGGCCUCUGCCACGUUCGCCCGCGUAAUGUUCCACCAGUAAAAAGAACCGGUGCCCUCCCAACAUGUCCGUGCGACCUGGCCCAACAAAUCAAACCCACCACCCCUUUUAGGAGAUGAGGCAAAAAAUAGUUGACCGUUACUGGAAUAAAACUCACAACCUCCAGUGUGUUUUGGCGUUGAUCGUGUUACCCUACAGAAAAGUGUUGAUCAUUUUAAAAUAAAAUUAAAUUUAGUUUUUGUUUGGGUCCUUCACGGAUUGGUACUAAACUAAUAUGAUGUAAAACCAGAUAACAUAAACACAAGGCACAAGUAUUUCAUUGUGUAGAUGUGGGUCAUGUGGCCGGGAUCUCAAACGCGAGCGUUCGCUGGUCUGUCCAUGCAGGUGAUGCAAUUCUUUAUUGGUUCCAAGCUUACGUGGAAUGUUCACCGUGUAGUGGACAUCGUUACCGACAAUGAUGACAAAGAAAAGAAGUGGUAACAGGGAUGGGGGCGCUAGGGGUGAUAAUUUAUUUCUCCCGUUGCACUUUUGCUAGUCUUAAUAAAGCACGGAUUGACUUUGUCGGAUUCACCGUCACAAUGCGCUUUCUUUGAAUUUACGCUUUUAGUUUAAAUUUAAAAUAUAUAUCCGAGGUGGUACUAAUCUAUCGCGGGAGCCAACGAUCGAUCGCUAGCUCGCCACGCAGGAUUGACUGCCAGAUGGGCCUUUGCUACUAGAUGGGCCGGCCAGACUGUGUCCAACUUUACGUUUACCUUGUGUCCAUGCCCAAAAUAUGCCGCCGGCCCCGACUCCUCCAACGCUCGCCGCCAUGGCCGAGGAUACGGUACACGAGCACGGAGGCGGAUGGGAUAGUGUGGUAAUUGGCGCCUCCCAGCAGCAGAGAGCGCGAGAGAUUUAGUAGCUGACCAUCACGCCAAGGGAUGCAAGCAACAACGUCACCCAAGUGCCCAUGACGGCGAGUGGGAUGAGAAAGGGGCUACAAAAGCGUCGGAGUUGGAGGCGCGGUGGCUGGGAAAAGAGCCAGCGGGAGACGGAGAGGCUCACCGGAGGACACGCGCGGCGGCGCGGUCGCGUGUGAGGCGGCCGGCUACAGGAGCGUGCAGGCGGCGCUCGGGCACUGGCGACGCCAUGGUCUUCUGGCGAGGCGGGCGAGCACGUACAUGAAGGCCGCGGGGGGCACGCUGCCUGGGCGAGAGGGGAGGCGCGAAGGAGGCGGUCGUCGCCGGUGGCGGGGCCGGAUGCGUCAGAUGCGCGCGCUUGCCUGCAGUCAACGCAGACAGACAUAGCGGCCAUCCAUGGCAGCGAGCGGCUCCGGGGGCGGCGACGGGGUUGGGUGGUUCAAGCGGCCGCUUCUGCAGCUACAUGGGAGACGUCCAGGAGUGAUUUAGUAGGAUGUCGACCCUAAACUAUGGAAAGCAAGCAUCCAAUGGAGAAGUGUUGUUCUGAAAAAUGGGUUCAUAACUUUUCAUAUGCUAAACUGAAACCAUGCAUAUUUGAAUAGCAGGAUUAGAGGGGUUUUUUAUUCAGAAUCUAGAGUUUGUCCGGCAUUGCAUCAUCAAGUAAAAGAUUGUAGUUUGUAUUCCUCAUGUCUGCUGCACUUGCAGGGUCAGAGUUGGUUGCCAUCCCCUGGACAGGGCGCUCUAGGGCGUGUUGGCGUGCUUGAGUAGACGAAACACUGAUGUUAGCUGCAAGGUGGAGAAGGAAUACCCCAUGGAUGGAUUUUGGUAGCUCUGAUGACAACAGUUUCAACUUAGUAAGUCAUAUGCUGAUAUUCAUAUGACUGUGAUCUCGGAAAUAAAAGUUCAUAGGAAAGUAACAGAAACCUUCACUGAACAUAGAGUUGUGUUGUAUCUGUACCGAGAAAAGUUUGUAGAGUAUGAAAAUAUGUUUCGAGACGAAACAAAUUAUGAUUAUUAGUCAUAGCAGUUGUAGGAACAGAUGAAAAUUGUAUUGCCGGUUUUAGCAGGUGUGCUGGUGCUCACAUGCUUAUCCAUUGUGAUAUGGGUUUGCAGGUCCAAAGGCACAGCAUACUAUGCUCAUGCAUAUGUGACAUAAACCAAUUCUACAUUAUGCAGCUCACAAACACUACAAAAUUACUAGGGCUAGGAGAUUUGUGCACUUAUGAAGGUUUUUGGACACGAAGGUUUUGAAUUUUCACUAUUAAGCUUCAAAGAUGUUACAUCUAUUAACCUGUACUCAUAUUAGGCCAACGUUGUCCAAUAUUGCUGGGGGAUUUUCCCUUUUUUUACAAAUCAUAAUCAGUCUGUAACCUGGGCGUGUACGAAAGUUGUCUGCACUUUUUUCUGUUUAAUCUGGGCGUCCAAUCUUUGUAAGCUGGGCUUUACCUGUACUUUAUCAUACGGAAACCAAUUAAAUGAAAACUGUUUGAUUCAAUGUUUGCCAGUCUGUGUUUAAUUCUCUGUUUGCUCCCUGUUUGAUUCAAAUCCAUGAACAAGUAAGUUCUUUUUCUCCCUGUUUGAUUCAAGUCUGAAAUAUUCAUAGAUGCUACACUUCAGUCAGUAAAUGAACAAAAAACUAGGACUGAACUUUUAGUCAGUUUUGUGUCAACGAGUAAAUCUGUGUGCUCGAGAUUACAAUUACUUUGAAUAGAGAAAUUAAGAAAAAUAUGUGGAAUCAUCACCACCCCUUAAUUGAUCUGGUGGCGGGAUGUAGAAAUUCAAUCUACUUGGUGGAGACGUACUGGCAUGUGAUGUCGUCCAACUAAUAGCCGUUAUAUGCCUUCCAUUGUGUUUUAAUUUUUUCUCUUGCAUUGCCUGGACUACCUGAUAGAAGCUCCUAUCAGCUAAUAUUACAACCAGAGCGGCAGACAUGUCCAUGUUUGGUGCUGCCAGCAGCAAGCAAUACAGGGUAGGUUUUGUAAGUGCUAACAUUGUAAAUUAAUAGGAUUUAUCAUUUUUUUUGUAUUAAGGAGUUCUAUUCUUUUGCUUCAUACAAAGAUUAUUGUACUAUUAAUUAGUCUAUAGUGGAAAAGUCAAAGAGUAUCAUACUCAGGGUCAGUUAAGUAGUUGGAAUAUUUGUAACCAUGCACUAACCUGAAAGUUAGGCAUACUAAUUAAGCUUUAUUGGUUUUUAAGGCAGUUCAAAGGGAUAUCUUCCUAGGUAGUCAAAUGUACAAUGCACAAUAUAAAAAUGUAGUUAUGUUUCUCAUCUCCUCCCAAUUGCACAAUCAUUCUUUGUUAUUAAUUUCACCACAACAGAAUUAUUGUAAUAGUUUGCAUCUUCAUGAUUUUAUAUAUUUACUUGUGUGGUUACUCUGGUUAACAAAGUAAUUUGCUAGAUGCGCUUAGAAAUAUUACUGUUAUAUAUGGUGUGUGACUUGCAUGGUUUCAUUUGGUACAUUUUCAUUACUACUAAACUUAGACAUAUGUACAUGUUCAUUGAGGUCGAAUGGUCAUUAUCGAAUUUGAAAUUAUCAAAUAUGCGGAAGGUAUGUUUCAACCGCUGAGGUGUAUCCCUAGCAGGAUCUUCCUAGGUAGUCAAAUGUACAAUGUAUACAAAAUUGAAGGGCGAAAUUAAAGGAAAGUGGCAUCAACCACAAACCUCGGUAAGAUCGGAAGGUGAAGAUUUUGAUGGAGAAACGAAAGAGAGGGGCCGAAAUUAAAGGACUAUGGCAUGUUAAACCACAAACCUCGAUAAGAUUGGAAGGAGAAGAUGGAAGAUGAAAGUGGCAACACGAAUGAGUCGCUUGACGCAUAAGAGGAUUUUGUUCUCCCGUUGCAACGCACGGCCUUUUUUGCUAGUCUUUCCCUAAUAAUAAAGCACGGAUUGACUUUGUCGGGUUCACCGUCACAAUACGCUUUCUUCUCGUGUCAGAAUACGCUUUUACAAUUUGUCCAGGGUUCACCCUCACAAUAUGCUUUCUUCUCGUGUCAGAAUACGCUUUUAUAAUUUGUAUGGACAAAAUCCUAAUAUAAACGAGGUGGUACUAAUAUAAAUAUAAACACGAUUCAACGAGCCCUGUCUCACGCACGAUAACUCCAGACGCCCUCCGCCGCCACGCCCCCAUCCCUCCAACUCCGCUGCGCACGGGAGCAGGGGGAACCUGCGACGGCGGUGGCAUGAUCUCCGGCAAGCGGCGGGUUCGAGCGGUGGGGCCGGGAUCUGGUGGCGGCGGCGAGCUCCUAUAGAUCGGCGGCCUGUCCUCUCCUCUGCGUACGCACAAGGCACAAUAGCACGUGGUCCUCUCCCUACACGGCACGGCACCGCCGCCACGCGCGGCCAGUCUUCCUCUCCAGCUACCCUCGAGCAGCGCCGUCGUUGCCCUGUUCUUCUUCGCCUCCUCACCCGCCCCAACUCCUCACCCCCAGCCCUCUCCACCUCGAGGCGGACGUCUCUGAUUUGGAUAGGAGUCGAUGGCGUGUUCACGAUGGAAUACUGCUCCAACACGUAGCUAUGGGUCCAACCCGAAUAUCAGAUCAAUCUCCCAGCCAUAAGAAGAAACCCUAGAGUGGAAGCACAAGUAAAUCGCAUUGCAAGUUUGUAAGACGAGAUUGUUGUGCGGGAACUGUCCAAUCUCGCCUCCACCUACUUCGCCGGAAGACCAUCUGCAAUCCGACGUUGCUCUACACAUCGCCGGAACUCCGAGUGCCGGUUCUCCAUGAGGUAUUGCAUACUGAAGACACAAGGAGAAUUGGAAUCAUGCUAUUUGUUUUUCUAGAAACCUACAGUUAAUGAAGCAAACAUAAACUGAACCUUAGUGUGCUACUUCCUGAUCUUCAGCUAAUUUUUCAUUGAUUGAUUCAUUGUUGUGUUUAGUUAGUCUAUCCACAAGCUAGAGGGACUAGGUUAAUUAAGAACAAUGUCUAAGGUAAUGAUUCACUAUGUACAGGUUGCCACCAUGUCAUAUUUGGUUGGCUUAGAGUGACAAGUAUUUCAAGGGUAAUCAAGUUGAUAAGCACCAGCUUAAAUUCAACCAAAAAUUUUAUGGCGUGAUCUCAAAUCUGUGAGCACACGAACCACGGAACUUCACCCAGCCAUUCUGGAUUUUUUAAUUGAGAGACAACUAAUUUCUCAUUGUUUGAUUCAUCAUGCUUACUCGCUCUGUCCUAGAGAGACUAACAUUGUUCUCCGAUCUGGUUGAUUCACUUCAGUUAAAUUUUCCAGUAGCUUCAGCUCUGUACAUUGGCAUGAAAAGGUGUUUGCCGUUUAGACGAAUUAACUGUUGGAUACUCCAUGAAAGAGGUAGGCCCAUCGCAUGAUUAGGAAGAAUAAGGUGUAUGCUAUACUUGAACAGAUUCCGUUAAGGAGACCAUUUAGCAUGGUCUGCUGGUUAUAGCCUUCUGUCUUGAACUGUAGGCAGAAGUGAAUUUGCUGCUUUGUGCACUCAGGAAGCUGAUUUCGUGUCGUGAACUCUACAGUUGCAUAUAUUUAGUCCCUCUACACAAGCAGGCACAAACGUCCUUUUGAUUUAUUUAUUUUUGAAUUAGGCCGCAUAAGUAGGCAGCAGUUACAAUCAAUGGUGAUGCAGAUUGAAGUACAGGCAAGAUUGCACCUUUAGUAACAUCAGUAUCAACUAUCAAGUAUGUUUAAUCUCAUUUAUCCGUAAGCUUAAUAUGUUGUAUACUUGUAUGGUGAUGCAGAGUUGAAGUACACUGCAAUCUGCACUGGGAUGUCCGUAAGCUUAAUCUCAUUUAUCCAUUGAAGGAGGUCGUCCUUGUGAUCACUGGAAACAUGUUUGUGAUUGAGGCACACAGCAAAAUGGCUCACACUCACCACCAUUACUCGAAGGACCAUCUCCAUAUACGAGUUGCUUUACCUGAAAGCAGAUUUCUGAAGAUAUAUAUUUUUUCGUAUUUGUUUUAUAUUUUUGGACAACUGGUUGUUUAUAUUGGUGGAGAUCCAGUGCUUUACAGAGCCCGCAUAUAAAGGUAAUGUGUAUUGCUAUUUUUCUUACUUAGUAGCAUUAGAAUCUCCCCAUCUCUUUAUACGGAGGUGAUGGCGAAGGAGGAAGAGUUGUGUCAGGCCCAGCUCAAGCUAGAUGAAGAAGAGGAGGCCAGAAAGAGAGAAUCAGCAAGGCAGAAGCCUUUUGAUCUCAAGGCACGAUUCUGCGGGUUGGUGAGCUACUAACAAAGACACACCUCUAUUCUGAAUUUCUACUUGAAAAAGAUGGACCAUCAGCUACGGAAUAUGUUCGCUGUUGACAUUGGUGGUGGUGUCUUUUGGUUCAACAUGAAGUUGUUUAAGUGAAAAAUGCAGUGGAACAUGUGGAACAAAGGACGUGGUAUGGAAAGGAAAGCAAAGCAAAGCCUAAACAGUACAAUGAUGCAGGUUCAGAUUUCAUAUGUUAUCUUCCCUGCCUCAGGAAUAUGAAAUGGUUGUCUUCUAGAUUAUGAACGUGUCUUUAUUUGUCAUGUAUUGUCGACGCACUGUGUAGUCUGUACUAAUUCUACUGAGACUGCUUGAUCUCUUAUCAUUCACACUUCAGAAUUUUCUAAUUAUCUUAUUAUUAGUAGUAUCAUCCUUCCAACGUACUGAUUCACAAAUCUUAGCUAAUUAGGAAGGAACUACAUGUUUAUCCAUUCUUUUUCAGAUAUGGUGCUCUUGUAGGCAAAGUAGAUGCAUAAUUCUUUUGGAAGGAAGGGCAGGCACACUAGAUAAUGAUGUAUUAUGUUUCUGGCCCAGAACAGGCAGCCCCCAUCAUCCACAACCUUGAUUCCACAAUAUACCCCGCUGAUAUGAUCUAGAGGAGCGAGGAGCUGGGCAAGGAGUCACUGCCGGUUCACAUGACCAAGAAGGGGUACGCGAUUUUGGGAAGAGAUGCAGGAAGACUGGAAGAAGAUUGACUUCAGUCGCUUCGGCAUCGCCGGCAGCGCCGACGGGAUCCUGCUUUAUUCCGAAGAACUGAUUUUAUAUGAUUCUGAACCUAGCCGUCCAACAUCAUAUCUGUCCAGCUAUACAAGCUUGUAUGCAGCCAAGUUAGUUGCUUUAUUAUGGACUCAACGAGGAAGAGCACUACCACUUUUUCAGAAUUUGAUUUUGUGAACCUUCAUGUUGCACUAUCACAUAUUGCACAUGAGUUGAUUCAGGUUUCCAGAGUUCAGACCACAACAAUCAAUCGGUCUGAAGGUGCUCCUGUUUUAUAUCAGAUCGUGAGGAAUGGGGACCCUUUUCGGAUAUUUGACUACUAUAUUUGCAUGCCGGAGUUCGCCGCCGUCUGCUGUGCUGUGAUUUUUGGGUAUGAUGCUAGAUUACGUGGUUGCAUAGUUCCUUCUUUUUCUUCUUCAAAUUCAAUAUUCUUGGGUCAUGGUGUGCUCAUGCUGAUUUGCAGCCCGGAUGAUAGUCCGUGGGAGGGAGGUUAGUUGAUCUAGCUGUAUUUAGUAGCUAUUUCAAUAAUGUUAUAGAAUCUUUGCUAAACACCUUUGGUGUUGAUUGUUCUUGAACUGAAGAAAUUUACAAUGUAGACUUGGCAUAAUUCACUUCCUAGAUGAAAAAAGAAGUUGCAUGUCCUUUAGUCAGCAAAUCAAGUUGAGCGAUGCAGCAUGUUGCGAAAAAGUCGCAGGUAUGUCCUGCACUGCACGCAUGUGAGGCGAAUGGUUUUUCUUGAUGCCAUUGUCGUCCAGUACAUGGUGUUUAUCAGUACUACUCCCUCCGUAAACUAAUAUAAGAGCGUUUAGAAUACUAAAAUAGUUAUCUAAACGCUCUUAUAUUAGUUUACAGAGGGAGUACUAUUUUGUUCUUGUCUUAAUUGAGUCUCAUGCAAACUGAUAAGCGGAUGGUAAACACCUCUCUCUAUAUUGAAAUAUGUGUUGAUUGAUUUAUACAUGGUUUUUGAUUUUAUCAUAUGAAUAGCUUUAAGAAUUUGGCAACAAGUCCAGUGGAAUCUCAUUUCUUUAAGGACACCAGCGUCUAAAUGCACAGUUGGUUUAUUGAGUUUGUAGAGCCUAUUUCUUUCAGGCGCUGCUUGAAUUAGCCGGGAAAAAGUGUAGUUGGUAUGUUAUUUCGAAUGCAAUUUCAAGUAGUAGUACACAAUGAAUAACUUCACCAACCAAGUAACCCUGAGAUAGUUUAAAACAUUUGAAGCGGUCUUUCUUCUCAUGGUAGGACAUUAAAAGUCUAUUAUAUUGUUUCAGGAACUGUUUCAAGGAAAAGAUAAAUACUUUGAUGUCCAAAAGGCUUUAUCAGCGAACAUUAGCGUGACUUUAAUGGGACAAUAUCCAUGGUUUUGCUAAUAUUGAUGACUUCUUUUCGGAAAAUACAUGUACUCUUCAUAUAGGCAAUUUUAAAAUAUUACACAUCAUAUAUCAAUCUAAUGUAAGAUAUCGAAAUGUAUAACAACUAGAUUAUGCUAAAAGUGUGACCACCAUAACUGGUGGGGCAAAGAAAAGUGACAACAUAUAAGCAUUUGUUUCUCCCGUUGCAACGCACGGGCCCUUUUGCUAGUAAUAAUAAAGCACGGAUUGAGUUUGUCAGGUUCACCGUCAUGACUCUUUUGCGAAAAAGUCCUUCCGUUUUUUUGGAAAUCAACCCGCAGUCUAAUAAUAAGUGAUUUGCAGGAGAAUAACGAUUCGAUCGUUCGGGCCAACAGGACUGUCUUCGGCCUCAAAGGAUAGACGCACGGUAUGGAAAAAACAAACAAGGAGAGAUCGGGCAUGACUCCUCCAUAGAGCCACGAUGGAUCUCGCCUCCACCAAGUUACAUAUUACGAGGAAACAAAAUCAUCGUCACACAUCCGAUUCCUUCCUCCUCCGCACGCACGAAGCCGCCGCCGCUGCUUCUCACCUCGCCGCUAGAUCGGAAUCGAAGUCGUUGCUCAAAUCAAGAGAGAGAGAGAGAGAGAGAGAGAGAGAGAGAGAGAGAGAGAGAGAGAGAGAUCGGAUCAUAGGCGGACGAGCCGCCGGCGAGGAAUCCACGUCGGGUGGCUAUCCGUGGCCUCUCAAGCCCUCUCUUACUCCCCCCUCCUCCACCUCCCACCGCCCGGGCGCCGUCACCUCACCUUCCACAGGCCCCCUCGACCCUCGGCUAGACACCACGGCCGGGUCGCCGCCCCUCCCACCGCGAGGAAGACGACGACAGAGCAAGGCGGCGGCGCUGGGCUGCACGUCGAGCCUCCCUCAGUGGCCUCCGUCCUCCAUACCGAUGCUCCGUCCCCCGUUUCAAUCGGCUCUGCUGCAACUUCGCCUGAAGACCGGUGCUCUGCCUUGACCUGCUCUGCUUCGGUCUAGAUCGAUACAAAUAGAGGGAGCACAUUUAAAGAGUCAUCGCUGCAGAGUUUGACACCACAUUUUCUUUGGAUGAUUGUUCGCCUCUCUGAAUCUAGCUUUUUUUAACGUGACCACUUCAAUUGAAUUGCUUAUUUGCAUUACAUACAGUGACCAAAACUAAUGCUUUGAUAUUGUCGCCUCCGCCGAGUUCGCCGGAAGAACAUCCGCCGCCAGAGCGUGCUACACCUGAGCCGGAAGAACAUCUGCUGUCCGAACGUGCUACACCACAGAUGUGGAAACUAAAAGGUGUAUAUAAUGCAGAGGAGGCAAUGUUCAGUUCCUAGGUGCGUAGGUGCAGCCCUGGCCCCAAUAGCCUUGGACGGCCUGAACGGCGCGGAUGAGUGCUUCUCCCUAGGGAGGGCCAUGUCGCCAUCGGCGAGACCCGGCCUGAGCCGGCAGACUUCUGGUCUCAUUAUUUAUUUUGUGUUCAUCAAAGUUUAUUUAUUUUGCACCAUAUCGUAGUAUGAUCGUGGGACACAGGCAGAGAUGACCAUGAUGCUAGCUGAUAGCACCUCUUAACUUCAGAAGUAUACAUGCCUUCUCUCUAAUUAAAAGAGAGUUUCUUACCAACUAUUGAGCCUACCAGUUAUAUAGAUUUAUGACUCUAAAGCCACUACUCAACUUCAGGUGGUACUCUGCUGUAGAAUAAACCUCCAUAAUUCUCCAUCUAAGAUACUGAAGUUUAUUGAUGAUUCUUUAUUUCAGGAUAUGUGGAAAAGGUAUUUGCACUACAUUUCAAGGCAGAUAGUAGAUUACAUGGCUAAGCAGCCCACCUAUAUUACUAAUUGUUUAUUUUGUUAUUUAAAUUAAAAUGGUUUAUGUAUUCUGUCGAAGCAUUCACAUGCCUUAUUAAUUUCAGGAAAACCAAUUUAUUAUUUAAUGGUUCAUGUAUUGUUAUGUCUAAAAUGAAAAUUCCAAACAAAAUCAUAGUCAUAUGUUGUAUUUAUAUGAUGAAUAUAGAUGUUCCAAUCGCUAUAUUUAAACUAAAAUUUUCAGAAUAAAUUGUGGUCUCUAAGCUUGUGUCA